UCAGCCGAAAGAAGUUUUUUGUGAAAUUAAAAUUGAUUAAAUCUUCUUUAAGAUCAACAAUGUCUAAAGAGAGAUUGAAUGAAUUAGCUAUAUCAUCAUUUGAAAAGAAAUUAUUAAACCAAAUUGAUUAUAAUACAGUAUCUAAUGACUUCACAUCUAAAAUAGCUAGAAAAGUAGAUAUUAAAUAAAAGUAUAGAUGAUGAAAAAAAAUUAGGGCUCCUCUCUUAAGUUUUGCUUUAGGCCCCCAAUGUUGUUGAGUCGUCCCUGCUUAUUAGCCUGUCAUGAGAGCAAUUUCAGCAUAAAUUUUUUUUUCCAGAUACUUCAAAUCUGCACCUGAUAUACCAUUAAAAGUACCCGCUAGUUCUGAUUUGAGUUUUAACUUGAUGGAAUUUUUCAGGUAGAUCUGAAAGGGAAAGGAGAGGGUUGGGAAUCCGUGGAGAGAGAAGGAAGAUAAUGUUGACUAUGGUUAAAUGGUUGGUUUUAGCAAAUAAUCUGAACCGUCUAUUAAUUUGAGGGACACGUGUAGCAAAAAUUAACCCCCAACUGGAGGAACUGCUCCAAUGGAGGGGAGCCAAAUCCGACCUUCGACUCAAAAAUAUAAAUUUUCUUAAAGAGUAGAAACUUACCUCCCCCAUCUUUAAACAAUGCUGAUUUUCGAAUGAAUGUUUUCAAACUUUUUUGCACUUCAAAACUAUAGUCUGUGUUUGUAAUUGUCUCACUGCUUGUAGUGGGGAAAAACA
This 740-nucleotide long non-coding RNA is filed under the name Solanum tuberosum (potato). RNAcentral's name for it is "long non-coding RNA (STUB_LNC010342)". The record is from RNAcentral. Lineage: Eukaryota; Viridiplantae; Streptophyta; Magnoliopsida; Solanales; Solanaceae.